GAGACACCUAUAUAUAGCUACAUGUAUCAAUUAGAAAAUGAACAAAGAUGAAAGGCUUAUAAGAGGUAACUGCAUGGCCUUCAACAAUGAGUUAACCCAUACCCUAUAGUCUGCUAUACCAGGCUCUGACAUGAAAAGUGAGACACGAUGUAUGUCAUUUUUAAUCAAAUCUCGUAUUUAUGUUCUACGACACAAAGUAGUAUUGGUACACUUUCAUUCUUUUAAAACGUGAAUAUUUAAGAAAUUGUUGGGUACAUGUAUAUGUGAAUGAGACAGUAACCAAACAACAAAAAUUACCAAAAGACAUCCUUGAACAAGACAGUUGUCAAACAAUAUGUUGCGCUCAUGAUUGGUCCAAGUCUAGUAAAAUGUUGAUAAAAUUUAUAGAACUAUUUGAAUACUGCUUCUAGAAUCGGUCAAUGCAGGUAUAAUGUUCCUAAUACUUUUCUCUGAAUAGCAGGUUCAAUACACCAUCUUAUGGCUAAGUGACUGAAAUAUAAAAUUUAUGGAAAGCAGGUUUUUAUUGUUCAAUGAGCCUUAUACGAGUACAAGUACAUGUUGGGUAUUUUUCAUCAAUAUAAAAGAUGUGGUAUGAUUGCCAAGGAGACGACUCUUCACAAGAUACCAAAUGACCCAAAUUUAACUAAAGGUCAUAUUAUGGCCUUCAACAAUUAGCAAAGCCUAUCAUCUUAUAAUUAACUCAAAAACCCAGGAGUUUGAAUCCAGUCAUCCUGGUGUAGUGGUAUAAAUGGUGGCUUCAUAUGUUCAAGGUCCAGAGUUUAUCUCCCUGCAUAGACACUGGAAAUGUAAUGGAUUUUUUUACAUUUAAUAGUUUUGAAAGAUGGUCUAUAUUUCGCUUAAUAUUUCCAAGUUUGAUAGUGUGUUUGCCAUUCCGAAACAAAUGGUUCCACAACCAAAGAAAGCAUGCAGAAAAAAGAAACUUGAGGUCAGGUGAUCUGACUCGUAUCACCCCCAAUUAGAACAUAGUUGGUAUCUAAGGUCCUUUUUUCAGGGUUCACCAGACCUUGACCUCAUUUCAGGGAUCUGUUUGUCAGUCAAAUUCAUUUCGUCAAAAUUAUAAGCUAUAGGAUCCAAGACUGGUUUGGUGUGGAGUAAUUGUUAGUUUUACAUGACAUAGUUCAUUGGUUCAGUUCAUGUCUCGCAUAUUAUAAGCAAUCGGUAAACUAUUUCUUGCACAGAAUGAUUAAGGUGCUAGAGUUUUGUUUUGACCUCUUUGUUUAUUGGUUCUAUUGUCAAAUGUUGUUUUUGUGGGUGUUUCUUUUACACCUAACUAAGCAAUGGAUCAACAACAUGAUAUAAUGUAAGGUGUACAAGUUUGUCUUGUCUGGCAGACUGUCUGACCAUGACCUAAUUUUAAUGGCCAAUGUGAUACUUGUAGUAGAACAUUGAUAUCUUUAAUUACAAAGAAGAUGUAGUAUGAUUGCCAAUGAGCCAAACUCUCCACAAAAGACCAAAUGACACAGAAAUUAACAGAACUAUAGGUCCCUGUCUUCAUCAAUGAGCAAAGCCCAUACCUGAGAGUCCGCUAUAAAAGGCCCUGAAAUGACAUGUAAAACAAUUCAAACAAGAAAACCAAUGACCCAAUAUAUGUAAAAAAAAAAAUUUUAUCUAUAAAUUCAUUCAAUCAUAAUUAGUAAAGUCUGUGGAAUAUUUCAGUGUGUGCACCCUUACCUGAACAUGUGUCUGUGUUAGAAUUUGAAUCUGGUGCAGAAAAUAGGUACUGUUAUUUUAUUGUUCUUAUCAGAGACUUGCAUCUUUUCAUAUUAAAAUUCUGUUUUAUGUAAAUUUUGUUCUGGUUCAUGUUAUCUUAUGAAAUAUUACACGACUAAAAUUUUGUCAAAAUGUCUUGGAAAGAAUUAAAAAAUCAAUGGGAAUAUGUCAAUGAGACAUGUAAAUUGAAAGAGGAGUAGAUAUGUAGAUAACAUAAAUGAGACAAUGUACAAUAAACAGCAUGAGGGAGCCUAAUCCUAAUUGUUGGCAAUAAAACUUAACAAUUGGUAGACAAGACUUAUAAUUUAGUGACCACCAAUUUUAACCACUUGGUGUGUCAUACAUCACAAAGUUCUUGUUGAUUUUGUUUUGCUGUAGGACAAUGCUUGUCAAGUGAAAUAGCUGGUCAACAAUAGUUUUAACUUGCAUUGAAGGUGAUUUAAAAUUUGAGGAGGUAAUUCUGCUACACAGCACUUCCAAUCUAAAAGGCAGCACAGUCUUUAAUGCUAAACAUGUGUCUAUACAAAAAUGUCAAGAUCUAUAGAGCAACACUUAGUCUUCAAUGCUUAAAAUGUACCUUUACAAAAUGUCCAGAUCUAAAGAGCAACACACAGUCUCCAAUGCUUAAAAUGUACCUAUACAAAAUGUCCAGAUCUAAAGAGCAACACUCAGUCUUCAAUGCUUAAAAUGUACCUAUACAAAAUGUCCAGAUCUAAAGAGCAACACACAGUCUCCAAUGCUUAAAAUGUACCUUUACAAAAUGUCUAGAUCUAAAGAGCAACACACAGUCUCCAAUGCUUAAAAUGUACCUUUACAAAAUGUCCAGAUCUAAAGAGCAACACACAGUCUCCAAUGCUUAAAAUGUACCUUUACAAAAUGUCAAGAUCUAAAGGGCAACACAGUUUUCAAUGCUAAACAUGUGUCUAUACAAAAUAAUCAGAUCUAAAGGGCAACAGUCUUGAAUGCUUAAAAUGUUCCUAUACAAAAUGUUGAGAUCUAAAGGGCAACACACAGUCUUCAAUACUUAACAUGUGUCGAUACAAAAUGUCAAGAUCUAAUGAGCAACACAGAGUCUUCAAUGCUAAACAUGUGUCUAUACAAAAUGUUCAGAUCUAAAGGGCAACACACAGUCUUCAAUACUAAACAUGUGUCUAUACGUAAUGUCCAGAUCUAAAGGGCAAC
RNAcentral lists this long non-coding RNA (2913 nucleotides) under Mytilus galloprovincialis (Mediterranean mussel). The record is from RNAcentral. Lineage: Eukaryota; Metazoa; Mollusca; Bivalvia; Mytilida; Mytilidae.